This 469-nucleotide ribosomal RNA is filed under the name uncultured bacterium. RNAcentral describes it as "partial 16S ribosomal RNA". It matches the Rfam family "Bacterial small subunit ribosomal RNA", at positions 28 to 507 of the family's 1533-position model. The record is from RNAcentral.
GACGAACGCUGGCGGCGUGCUUAACACAUGCAAGUCGAACGGAAAGGCCCUGCUUGCAGGGUGCUCGAGUGGCGAACGGGUGAGUAACACGUGGGUGAUCUGCCCCUUACUUUGGGAUAAGCCUGGGAAACUGGGUCUAAUACUGGAUAGGACCAUGCUGUAGGUGGUGUGGUGGAAAGAUUAGUUUCGGUAAGGGAUGAGCUCGCGGCCUAUCAGCUUGUUGGUGGGGUAAUGGCCUACCAAGGCGUCGACGGGUAGCCGGCCUGAGAGGGUGGACGGCCACAUUGGGACUGAGAUACGGCCCAGACGACUACGGGAGGCAGCAGUGGGGAAUAUUGCACAAUGGGCGCAAGCCUGAUGCAGCGACGCCGCGUGGGGGAUGACGGCCUUCGGGUUGUAAACUCCUUUCAGCCAUGACGAAGCCCUUGUGGUGACGGUAGUGGUAGAAGAAGCACCGGCUAACUACGUG